UGAUGCUCUGUCCCCUCUUUCUUGUCGGAACAGUUCUUCUCCUCUCUUUGUAAAGAAACACUUGAGAAACCCAGUUCGUUUUCUGUUCUUGAACUAUGUCCGAGUACAACAUAACGAUUUUAGCGCUGAUGUUGCUGCUCAGCGUGAUAACGGUAACUUCAUCAGCAUCGCGGUCGCCGGAUGUCAUUGAGUCUCUGCUCACCCGACCGGAGUCCAAAAGGGCAUCCCCAUCGGUUCGAGAAACGGCUGCUGAAGGCCUUCUUAAAAGAUUGCUUCCUUUCCAUUCGCACAGGAUUAAAGGUACCACAGCAGUUGAAUUAGCAUCCGGCUUGCAUUGGUAUUUGAAGUAUUAAUGCGAUGCUUAUGUUUCCUGGGACAAGACUGGUAGCAUACAGGUGGCUUCUGUUCCUAAGGCAGGAUCCCUGCCUAGGCUGAAGGGCAAGGGUGUGAUGAUUCAGUGAUCCGUCCCAUGGAGCUAUUAUCAAAAUGUUGUUGCAUCAAGUUGUGGGGUGACCCAUUAUCACAGAACUUGUUGGAUCAACAGCUAAACUUGCAGUAACAGAUAUUGUCCUGGAUGUCAGAGCUAGGCAUGUUUCGAGUUCUUCCAUCCUUCUCUGGGAAUGUUCCAGAAGCAUUGAAGAAGAUACAUUCGUCAGCUAAUAUAACUAGACUUGGGGACCGGUAUGGCUAGACUCGGGGACUGGUAUGGCUCUUUUUCUGUUUGUAAUUUCUUAAGUGUUGAUGACUUUGAUGACCUUUUCACUCUUAUAUUGUCCUCCCAUGCAUCCCUUUUUUGUCUUCCUGCUUGGGUUCGAUAAGUUCUUCAUCUAGAUACAGUUUUUGUUAAGAUGCUACACAUGGCAUUUUUUUAAUUUCCUUGUCAAUUAUAAGACUUGUAAAACAAAUAGAGAAAAGGUCAAAGACAUUAUUUUGUUUUACUACCUGGAAGAGGAUAGUCAAGAAAUUCGGUCGACAAUAUUUCUCAACGUCCAAGAUAUGAUGUAUCUGAUACAUGCUAGCAAUAAAGAAAUCUUAUGCUAUUCUGAA
This is a long non-coding RNA of Syzygium oleosum, 1047 nucleotides long. RefSeq lists it as uncharacterized. NCBI's taxonomy places the organism in Eukaryota, Viridiplantae, Streptophyta, Magnoliopsida, Myrtales, Myrtaceae. The transcript is spliced from 4 exons. The record is from RefSeq and is a predicted model, not a curated record.